Pieris rapae (cabbage white) is the source of this 205-nucleotide long non-coding RNA. RefSeq lists it as uncharacterized. The transcript has 3 exons. The record is from RefSeq and is a predicted model, not a curated record. NCBI's taxonomy places the organism in Eukaryota, Metazoa, Arthropoda, Insecta, Lepidoptera, Pieridae.
CCAGCGUGUCAUUGGAGAUAUGAGUGCACAUCUCCAACAGAACUUGACUCGUGUCGAAUUUAUACUCAGUGCAUUAACGAUACAAAGGCAACUAAAGCUGAAUAUAUCGAAGUGCCACACAAAAACGACGAACAUUCGAAAGCAGUUCAAAAUUUUCGCAAGAUGUUAGGAUUAUCACUCAUAGACGAAGAAGUAGAGAAAAUAU